RNAcentral lists this ribosomal RNA (397 nucleotides) under uncultured bacterium. RNAcentral describes it as "partial 16S ribosomal RNA". It matches the Rfam family "Bacterial small subunit ribosomal RNA", at positions 523 to 918 of the family's 1533-position model. The record is from RNAcentral.
AUACGUAGGGGGCGAGCGUUGUCCGGAAUGAUUGGGCGUAAAGGGCGCGUAGGCGGCCCGGUAAGUCUGGAGUGAAAGUCCUGUUUUUAAGAUGGGAAUUGCUUUGGAUACUGUCGGGCUUGAGUGCAGGAGAGGUAAGUGGAAUUCCCAGUGUAGCGGGGAAAUGCGUAGAGAUUGGGAGGAACACCAGUGGCGAAGGCGACUUACUGGACUGUAACUGACGCUGAGGCGCGAAAGUGUGGGGAGCAAACAGGAUUAGAUACCCUGGUAGUCCACACUGUAAACGAUGAAUGCUAGGUGUAGGGGGUAUCGACCCCUUCUGUGCCGCAGUCAACACAAUAAGCAUUCCGCCUGGGGAGUACGGCCGCAAGGUUGAAACUCAAAGGAAUUGACGGGG